RNAcentral lists this ribosomal RNA (253 nucleotides) under uncultured bacterium. RNAcentral's name for it is "partial 16S ribosomal RNA". It matches the Rfam family "Bacterial small subunit ribosomal RNA", at positions 524 to 776 of the family's 1533-position model. The record is from RNAcentral.
UACGAAGGGGGCUAGCGUUGCUCGGAAUCACUGGGCGUAAAGCGCACGUAGGCGAAUCUUUAAGUCAGGGGUGAAAUCCUGGAGCUCAACUCCAGAACUGCCUUUGAUACUGAAGAUCUUGAGUUCGGGAGAGGUGAGUGGAACUGCGAGUGUAGAGGUGAAAUUCGUAGAUAUUCGCAAGAACACCAGUGGCGAAGGCGGCUCACUGGCCCGAUACUGACGCUGAGGCACGAAAGCGUGGGGAGCAAACAGG